Molecule: long non-coding RNA, 804 nt
Filed under: Equus asinus (donkey)
Lineage: Eukaryota; Metazoa; Chordata; Mammalia; Perissodactyla; Equidae
Description: lncRNA (ENSEASG00005035924.1)
Source: RNAcentral
CUGAGCUACACUUGUCUCAGGUCUCAGGUGUCAGGCUCUGGAGCACUCAGGCUGACUCAGAAACUGACUCUCGGGGGAUCAAAAAAGGAGCAACUGUUCAAAAAUGAUGGAUCCCAUUUUUCAAGACUUGCCAUGCCACACAAGAUGAGACCCCACCGAGACAGGCUCUAACAGGCAUCAGGAAAAGAGGAUGCAGUGUGUUUCUUCACAGGGUCAGACCAGGGAGCUCCAGCCGGCCGGAGCUCCAGGAAGUGGAUUCUGAAGGCGUCGAGGGUGACCGUUGGUAGGUUUUAAGGGUGAAGAAGAGAUCACAGUCGGAGCAAACCAAAGAAGAGUCAAGUGCCAGCUGCCUAAGAAAGAGGAGAGAGGCCCAGAGGGCAGGACCCGAGUCGGGUGAAGGGGCAGGGACGGAGAGAGGGAAUCGGGAGCUGAAGAGAGACGUGCUGGGAGAGGCUGCCUCAGGGCGAGGGGGUGCAGGAGGAAGACAAGGCCCAGGGGCCUUUUCACAAGACUCUGCUGGGCAGGUGUGACGUCAUCUCCUCUCCAGCACGCUCGGAGGAACGCAGAUGUUCUCUUACCGCUCAGUGCACGCUGCAGGGCUCUGAAUCCAGCUCGGGGGCAGGCCCCAGACUGGGCCCCUCCUCACAGCUUCUCUGGCCACUUUCCAGUUACAGUCAAUAUGAAUAGAUUAGGCAGUUUCACCACCUGCCCCAAAUUGCUAUUUUUAAUAAGUUAAACUGGAGCAUCUUUAAGAAUUUCAAAGUCUCUAGGAAUUUAAAUGUAUUAAAUGUAUACUUAUGCAAA